Trametes pubescens is the source of this 90-nucleotide transfer RNA. It matches the Rfam family "tRNA". Rfam says of the family: Transfer RNA (tRNA) molecules are approximately 80 nucleotides in length. The record is from Rfam. Lineage: Eukaryota; Fungi; Basidiomycota; Agaricomycetes; Polyporales; Polyporaceae.
CCUUCGAUAGCUCAGUUGGAAGAGCGCAGGACUGCAAUUGGUUAAAUUGGUUAAUCAGACAUGUCGCUGGUUCGAUCCCGGCUCAAAGGA